AGCGAACGCUGGCGGCAGGCUUAACACAUGCAAGUCGAACGGGCGUAGCAAUACGUCAGUGGCAGACGGGUGAGUAACGCGUGGGAACGUACCUUUUGGUUCGGAACAACCCAGGGAAACUUGGGCUAAUACCGGAUAAGCCCUUACGGGGAAAGAUUUAUCGCCGAAAGAUCGGCCCGCGUCUGAUUAGCUAGUUGGUGAGGUAACGGCUCACCAAGGCAACGAUCAGUAGCUGGUCUGAGAGGAUGAUCAGCCACAUUGGGACUGAGACACGGCCCAAACUCCUACGGGAGGCAGCAGUGGGGAAUAUUGGACAAUGGGCGCAAGCCUGAUCCAGCCAUGCCGCGUGAGUGAUGAAGGCCCUAGGGUUGUAAAGCUCUUUUGUGCGGGAAGAUAAUGACGGUACCGCAAGAAUAAGCCCCGGCUAACUUCGU
This 434-nucleotide ribosomal RNA is filed under the name uncultured bacterium. Its description in RNAcentral is "bacterial SSU rRNA". It matches the Rfam family "Bacterial small subunit ribosomal RNA", at positions 29 to 506 of the family's 1533-position model. The record is from RNAcentral.